UACGUAGGAGGCAAGCGUUAUCCGGAAUGACUGGGCGUAAAGGGUGCGUAGGUGGUUUGACAAGUUGGUAGCGUAACUCCGAGGCUCAACCUCGGCACUACUACCAAAACUGUCGGACUUGAGUGCAGGAGGGGCAAAUGGAAUUCCUAGUGUAGCGGUGAAAUGCGUAGAUAUUAGGAGGAACACCAGCGGCGAAGGCGGCUUACUGGACCGUGACUGACGUUGAGGCACGAAAGCGUGGGGAGCAAACAGG
RNAcentral lists this ribosomal RNA (253 nucleotides) under uncultured Eubacteriales bacterium. RNAcentral describes it as "uncultured Clostridiales bacterium partial 16S ribosomal RNA". It matches the Rfam family "Bacterial small subunit ribosomal RNA", at positions 524 to 776 of the family's 1533-position model. The record is from RNAcentral. Lineage: Bacteria; Bacillati; Bacillota; Clostridia; Eubacteriales.